CAGUAGCCGCGGUAAUACGAAGGGUGCAAGCGUUAAUCGGAAUUACUGGGCGUAAAGCGCGCGUAGGUGGUUUGGUAAGAUGGAUGUGAAAUCCCCGGGCUCAACCUGGGAACUGCAUCCAUAACUGCCUGACUAGAGUACGGUAGAGGGUGGUGGAAUUUCCUGUGUAGCGGUGAAAUGCGUAGAUAUAUGAAGGAACACCAGUGGCGAAGGCGACCACCUGGACUGAUACUGACACUGAGGUGCGAAAGCGUGGGGAGCAAACAGGAUUAGAUACCCCAGUAGUCCCUGUCUCUUAUAU
This 301-nucleotide ribosomal RNA is filed under the name uncultured bacterium. RNAcentral's name for it is "partial 16S ribosomal RNA". It matches the Rfam family "Bacterial small subunit ribosomal RNA", at positions 509 to 809 of the family's 1533-position model. The record is from RNAcentral.